UGGGGAAUCUUAGACAAUGGGGGCAACCCUGAUCUAGCCAUGCCGCGUGAGUGAUGAAGGCCUUAGGGUCGUAAAGCUCUUUCGCCUGUGAUGAUAAUGACAGUAGCAGGUAAAGAAACCCCGGCUAACUCCGUGCCAGCAGCCGCGGUAAUACGGAGGGGGUUAGCGUUGUUCGGAAUUACUGGGCGUAAAGCGCGCGUAGGCGGAUUAGAAAGUUGGGGGUGAAAUCCCGGGGCUCAACCCCGGAACUGCCUCCAAAACUGCUAGUCUAGAGUUCGAGAGAGGUGAGUGGAAUUCCGAGUGUAGAGGUGAAAUUCGUAGAUAUUCGGAGGAACACCAGUGGCGAAGGCGGCUCACUGGCUCGAUACUGACGCUGAGGUGCGAAAGUGUGGGGAGCAAACAGGAUUAGAUACCCUGGUAGUCCACACCGUAAACGAUGAAUGCCAGUCGUCGGAUAGUAUACUAUUCGGUGACACACCUAACGGAUUAAGCAUUCCGCCUGGGGAGUACGGUCGCAAGAUUAAAACUCAAA
Molecule: ribosomal RNA, 532 nt
Filed under: uncultured Roseobacter sp.
Lineage: Bacteria; Pseudomonadati; Pseudomonadota; Alphaproteobacteria; Rhodobacterales; Roseobacteraceae
Description: bacterial SSU rRNA
Rfam family: Bacterial small subunit ribosomal RNA
Source: RNAcentral